RNAcentral lists this ribosomal RNA (497 nucleotides) under uncultured bacterium. Its description in RNAcentral is "partial 16S ribosomal RNA". It matches the Rfam family "Bacterial small subunit ribosomal RNA", at positions 28 to 507 of the family's 1533-position model. The record is from RNAcentral.
GAUGAACGCUGGCGGCGUGCCUAAUACAUGCAAGUCGAGCGAACAGACGAGGAGCUUGCUCCUCUGACGUUAGCGGCGGACGGGUGAGUAACACGUGGAUAACCUACCUAUAAGACUGGGAUAACUUCGGGAAACCGGAGCUAAUACCGGAUAACAUGUUGAACCGCAUGGUUCAACAGUGAAAGACGGUCUUGCUGUCACUUAUAGAUGGAUCCGCGCCGCAUUAGCUAGUUGGUAAGGUAACGACUUACCAAGGCAACGAUGCGUAGCCGACCUGAGAGGGUGAUCGGCCACACUGGAACUGAGACACGGUCCAGACUCCUACGGGAGGCAGCAGUAGGGAAUCUUCCGCAAUGGGCGAAAUCCUGACGGAGCAACGCCGCGUGAGUGAAGAAGGUCUUCGGAUCGUAAAACUCUGUUAUUAGGGAAGAACAAAUGUGUAAGUAACUAUGCACGUCUUGACGGUACCUAAUCAGAAAGCCACGGCUAACUACGUG